UGAUCCUGGCUCAGAUUGAACGCUGGCGGCAGGCCUAACACAUGCAAGUCGAACGGUAACAGGAUAGCUUGCUAUCGUUGACGAGUGGCGGACGGGUGAGUAAUACUUAGGGAUCUGCCUCUGUGUGGGGGAUAACUAUUGGAAACGAUAGCUAAUACCGCAUAAUGUCUACGGACCAAAGGGGGCUUCGGCUCUCGCCCUGGGAUGAACCUAAGCGAGAUUAGCUUGUUGGUGAGGUAAGGGCUCACCAAGGCGACGAUCUCUAGCUGUUCUGAGAGGAAGAUCAGCCACACUGGGACUGAGACACGGCCCAGACUCCUACGGGAGGCAGCAGUGGGGAAUAUUGCACAAUGGGGGGAACCCUGAUGCAGCCAUGCCGCGUGUGUGAAGAAGGCCUUAGGGUUGUAAAGCACUUUCAGUUGUGAGGAAAGGUUUGAGGUUAAUAAUUUCAAGCUGUGACGUUAGCAACAGAAGAAGCACCGGCUAACUCCGUGCCAGCAGCCGCGGUAAUACGGAGGGUGCGAGCGUUAAUCGGAAUUACUGGGCGUAAAGCGCACGCAGGCGGUUACAUCAGCCAGAUGUGAAAGCCCCGGGCUUAACCUGGGACGGUCAUUUGGAACUGUGUAACUAGAGUCUUGGAGAGGGGAGUGGAAUUCCAGGUGUAGCGGUGAAAUGCGUAGAUAUCUGGAGGAACAUCAGUGGCGAAGGCGACUCCCUGGCCAAAGACUGACGCUCAUGUGCGAAAGUGUGGGUAGCGAACAGGAUUAGAUACCCUGGUAGU
RNAcentral lists this ribosomal RNA (781 nucleotides) under uncultured marine bacterium. RNAcentral's name for it is "bacterial SSU rRNA". It matches the Rfam family "Bacterial small subunit ribosomal RNA", at positions 14 to 794 of the family's 1533-position model. The record is from RNAcentral.